ACGGCCGCAUCACGUUGAAGCACCGGUUCCGUACGAUCAUUGAAGUUAAGCAACGUUGACCCUGUACAGCACCUAGAUGGGUGACCGUUCGGGAAUACCAGGUACUGUAAG
This is a non-coding RNA of Acanthosepion pharaonis, 111 nucleotides long. NCBI's taxonomy places the organism in Eukaryota, Metazoa, Mollusca, Cephalopoda, Sepiida, Sepiidae. The record is from the annotation of a GenBank genome assembly.